AAAUUGAAGAGUUUGAUCAUGGCUCAGAUUGAACGCUGGCGGCAGGCCUAACACAUGCAAGUCGAACGGUAACAGGAAGCAGCUUGCUGCUUCGCUGACGAGUGGCGGACGGGUGAGUAAUGUCUGGGAAACUGCCUGAUGGAGGGGGAUAACUACUGGAAACGGUGGCUAAUACCGCAUAACGUCGCAAGACCAAAGAGGGGGACCUUCGGGCCUCUUGCCAUCAGAUGUGCCCAGAUGGGAUUAGCUUGUUGGUGAGGUAACGGCUCACCAAGGCGACGAUCCCUAGCUGGUCUGAGAGGAUGACCAGCCACACUGGAACUGAGACACGGUUCAGACUCCUACGGGAGGCAGCAGUGGGGAAUAUUGCACAAUGGGCGCAAGCCUGAUGCAGCCAUGCCGCGUGUAUGAAGAAGGCCUU
Molecule: ribosomal RNA, 421 nt
Filed under: Salmonella enterica
Lineage: Bacteria; Pseudomonadati; Pseudomonadota; Gammaproteobacteria; Enterobacterales; Enterobacteriaceae
Also listed under: 1 other name
Description: bacterial SSU rRNA
Rfam family: Bacterial small subunit ribosomal RNA
Source: RNAcentral